Molecule: ribosomal RNA, 108 nt
Organism: Fukomys damarensis (Damara mole-rat)
Lineage: Eukaryota; Metazoa; Chordata; Mammalia; Rodentia; Bathyergidae
Source: Ensembl
GUGUACAGCCAUACCAACCUGAAUGCACCCAAUCUCAUCUGAUCUCCGAAGCUAAGCAGCUUUGGGUCCGGUUAGUGUUUGGAAGGGAGAAAAAGGGGCUUUAGCACU